Molecule: non-coding RNA, 157 nt
Organism: Paramuricea clavata
Lineage: Eukaryota; Metazoa; Cnidaria; Anthozoa; Malacalcyonacea; Plexauridae
Source: the annotation of a GenBank genome assembly
GACCUCGAUAUUCGACGUCAUGAGCACGUUAAACUUAGGUGUUUAUGACGUCGAUAUUUGACGUCAUAAACACGAUCACCUUAGGUGUUUAUGACGUCGAUAUUCGACGUCAUAAACACGAUCAAGUUAGGUGUUUAUGACGUCGACAUUCGACGUC